GACGAACGCUGGCGGCGUGCUUAACACAUGCAAGUCGUACGGUAAGGCCCUUUGGGGGCUACACGAGUGUUGGAGGGGUGCGUAAGACGUGAGUAACCUUCCCACACCUUUGGGAUAACGCUAGGAAACUGGAGCUAAAACUGGAACUGUGCUCCUUCUUCAUGGUCGGGGUUGAACAGUUCCGGCGGGUCUGGAUGGACCUUCGGCCUAUCUGCUAGUCGGUGAGGUAACGGCCUACCGAGGCGGCGAUGCGUAGCCGACCUGAGAGGGGGACCGGCCACACUGGAACUGAGAGACGGUCCAGACGCCGACGGGAGGCAGCAGUAGGGAAGGGUGCGCAAUGGGCGAAAUACUGACGGAGCAACGCAGCGUGAGUGAAGAAGGUCUUCGGAUCGUAAAACUCUGUUAUUAGGGAAGAACAAUUGUGGAAGUAACGAUGCUUUUCUUGACGGUACCUAAUCAGAAAGCCACGGCUAACUACGUG
Molecule: ribosomal RNA, 484 nt
Filed under: uncultured bacterium
Lineage: Bacteria
Description: partial 16S ribosomal RNA
Rfam family: Bacterial small subunit ribosomal RNA
Source: RNAcentral